RNAcentral lists this ribosomal RNA (273 nucleotides) under uncultured bacterium. Its description in RNAcentral is "partial 16S ribosomal RNA". It matches the Rfam family "Bacterial small subunit ribosomal RNA", at positions 524 to 796 of the family's 1533-position model. The record is from RNAcentral.
UACGGCGGGGGCAAGCGUUUUCCGGAUUCACUGGGUGUAAAGGGCGCGUAGGCGGGUUAGCAAGUCAGAGGUGAAAUCUCCCGGCUCAACCGGGAAACUGCCUUUGAAACUGUUAAUCUUGAGUGCGGAAGAGAGAGACGGAAUUCCAGGUGUAGCGGUGAAAUGCGUAGAUAUCUGGAGGAACACCGGUUGCGAAGGCGGUCUCUUGGUCCGUAACUGACGCGCAGGCGAGAAAGCGGGGGUAGCACACAGGAGGAGAUAACCGCGUAGUCC